AUUGAACGCUGGCGGCAGGCUUAACACAUGCAAGUCGAGCGGGGUGAUGGUGCUUGCACUAUCACUUAGCGGCGGACGGGUGAGUAAUGCUUAGGAAUCUGCCUAUUAGUGGGGGACAACAGCUCGAAAGGGAUGCUAAUACCGCAUACGUCCUACGGGAGAAAGCAGGGGAUCACUUGUGACCUUGCGCUAAUAGAUGAGCCUAAGUCGGAUUAGCUAGUUGGUGGGGUAAAGGCCUACCAAGGCGACGAUCUGUAGCGGGUCUGAGAGGAUGAGCCGCCACACUGGGACUGAGACACGGCCCAGACUCCUACGGGAGGCAGCAGUGGGGAAUAUUGGACAAUGGGGGGAACCCUGAUCCAGCCAUGCCGCGUGUGUGAAGAAGGCCUUAUGGUUGUAAAGCACUUUAAGCGAGGAGGAGGCCCUUUUGGUUAAUACCCAAGAUGAGUGGACGUUACUCGCAGAAUAAGCACCGGCUAACUCUGUGCCAGCCGCCGCAGUAA
RNAcentral lists this ribosomal RNA (503 nucleotides) under uncultured bacterium. Its description in RNAcentral is "partial 16S ribosomal RNA". It matches the Rfam family "Bacterial small subunit ribosomal RNA", at positions 30 to 523 of the family's 1533-position model. The record is from RNAcentral.